Notolabrus celidotus (New Zealand spotty) is the source of this 276-nucleotide long non-coding RNA. RefSeq lists it as uncharacterized. Lineage: Eukaryota; Metazoa; Chordata; Actinopteri; Labriformes; Labridae. The record is from RefSeq and is a predicted model, not a curated record. The transcript has 3 exons.
CAACAUGACUGUUUAUCUGGUGGACCCUGCACAAAGUUCAACAGAGAGUGACGAUUCCAACCUUGCAGCCAAAAGAAUCAGGGAGUACCUGAAAAUGAGAAGGGCAUGCCAUGGGAAGACAGAUUGGGUGGACAUAAAAUGGCAAGGAGGAGUCCUGACCCAUCCAACUCAGCAGGAUGGCAAUAGAUGUGAGGUUAUUGUCAUCAUGAUGGAAAGGGCCACGAUGGAAGCCUUUCCAGCUCCUCCAGUGAUGUCAUUUGGGACACCCAAAAAGGA